GUGUUCGAGUUUGCCAUUCGUUUGGCCUUUUCGAGUUCGCUUUUGGGUUUUCCCUUUUUACUUUGAGAAAAUUAGAGUGUUUCAAGCAGACUUUUGUCUUGAAUACUUCAGCAUGGAAUAAUAGAGUAGGACUUUGGUUCUAUUUUGUUGGUUAUUGAACCUUAGUAAUGGUUAAUAGGAACGGUUGGGGGCAUUCGUAUUUAACUGUCAGAGGUGAAAUUCUUAGAUUUGUUAAAGACGAACUACUGCGAAAGCAUUUGCCAAGGACGUUUCCAUUAAUCAAGAACGAAAGUUAGGGGAUCGAAGACGAUCAGAUACCGUCGUAGUCCUAACCAUAAACCAUGCCGACUAGUGAUUGGAGGUCGUCGUUUUGCUGACCCCUUCAGGAACUUGAGAGAAAUCAAAGUCUUUGGGUUCUGGGG
RNAcentral lists this ribosomal RNA (422 nucleotides) under Babesia vogeli. RNAcentral describes it as "SSU rRNA". It matches the Rfam family "Eukaryotic small subunit ribosomal RNA", at positions 695 to 1119 of the family's 1831-position model. The record is from RNAcentral. Lineage: Eukaryota; Apicomplexa; Aconoidasida; Piroplasmida; Babesiidae.